Oncorhynchus keta (chum salmon) is the source of this 354-nucleotide long non-coding RNA. RefSeq lists it as uncharacterized. The record is from RefSeq and is a predicted model, not a curated record. The transcript is spliced from 3 exons. Lineage: Eukaryota; Metazoa; Chordata; Actinopteri; Salmoniformes; Salmonidae.
GGUGUUGAAUAGAAGGAGUUGAAUAGAAGGAGUUGAAUAGAAGGAGUUGAAUAGAAGGAGUUGAAUAGAAGGUGUUGAAUAGAAGGUGUUGAAUAGAAGGAGUUGAAUAGAAGGAGUUGAAUAGAAGGAGUUGAAUAGAAGGUGUUGAAUAGAAGGUGUUGAAUAGAAGGUGUUGAUUAGAAUGAGUUGAAUAGAAGGUGUUGAAUAGAAGGUGUUGAAUAGAAGGUGUUGAAUAGAAGGAGUUGAAUAGAAGGAGUUGAAUAGAAGGAGUUGAAUAGAAGGAGUUGAAUGGAAGGAGUUGAAUAGAAGGAGUUGAAUAGAAGGUGUUGAAUAGAAGGAGUUGAAUAGAAGGAG